RNAcentral lists this ribosomal RNA (885 nucleotides) under Pinnularia sp. Its description in RNAcentral is "eukaryotic LSU rRNA". It matches the Rfam family "Eukaryotic large subunit ribosomal RNA", at positions 43 to 1005 of the family's 3401-position model. The record is from RNAcentral. Lineage: Eukaryota; Bacillariophyta; Bacillariophyceae; Sellaphorales; Pinnulariaceae.
UAAUUAAGCGGAGGAAAAGAAACUAACGAGGAUUUGCUCAGUAAGGGCGACUGAAGCGUCAAUAGCUCACCAUGUGAAUCAGCACCUUAGGGUGUGGAAUUGUGGUUUGGAGACUGUUGCAUUACAGGGCCAGGUCAAGUUCCUUGGAACGGGGCAGCUGAGAGGGUGAAACUCCCGUGUGCCUGGCCUUGAGAGCGAUUGUCGAGGAGUCGAGUUGUUUGGGAUUGCAGCUCAAAGUGGGUGGUAAAUUCCAUCGAAAGCUAAAUAUUGGUGGGAGACCGAUAGCGAACAAGUACCGUGAGGGAAAGAUGCAAAGAACUUUGAAAAGAGAGUUAAAGAGUACCUGAAAUUGCUGAAAAGGAAGCGAAGGAAACCAGUGUUUGUUGCGUCAUACUUCCCUGCUCGCUUGCGGGUGGGGCGCUGUGGCCAGCGUAGUUCUGAGUGAUUGUUUUGGCCGGAAGGAGGUCUUGGGAAGUUGUCCUGUGACGCUCGCGGCUGGAUCAAUUGUUGUGGACGAAAUGGUUUUCUUUUCCCCGUCUAGAAACACGGACCAAGGAGUCUAACAUAUGUGCGAGUACAGGGGAGUCAACCCCCCGUGCGCAAUGAAAGUGACAGUGGCUGGAACGUUGUUGCACAGUCCGCCGGCCACAAUCCCUCGGGAGAACGGUCUGAGUGUGAGCAUACAUGUUGGGACCCGAAAGAUGGUGAACUAUGCUUGAGUAGGGUGAAGCCAGGGGAAACUCUGGUGGAGGCUCGUAGCGAUUCUGACGUGCAAAUCGAUCGUCAAACUUGAGUAUAGGGGCGAAAGACUAAUCGAACUAUCUAGUAGCUGGUUCCCUCCGAAAUUYCCYUUAGGGAUAGCUGCGAUCGGAAACCAAUUUUGUC